This 492-nucleotide ribosomal RNA is filed under the name uncultured bacterium. RNAcentral describes it as "partial 16S ribosomal RNA". It matches the Rfam family "Bacterial small subunit ribosomal RNA", at positions 29 to 507 of the family's 1533-position model. The record is from RNAcentral.
AGUGAACGCUGGCGGUAGGCCUAACACAUGCAAGUCGAACGGCAGCACAGUAAGAGCUUGCUCUUACGGGUGGCGAGUGGCGGACGGGUGAGGAAUACAUCGGAAUCUACUUUUUCGUGGGGGCUAACGUAGGGAAACUUACGCUACUACCGCAUACGACCUACGGGUGAAAGCCGGGGAUCUUCGGACCUUGCGCGAUUGAAUGAGCCGAUGUCGGAUUAGCUAGUUGGCGGGGUAAAGGCCCACCAAGGCGACGAUCCGUAGCUGGUCUGAGAGGAUGAUCAGCCACACUGGAACUGAGACACGGUCCAGACUCCUACGGGAGGCAGCAGUGGGGAAUAUUGGACAAUGGGCGCAAGCCUGAUCCAGCCAUGCCGCGUGUGUGAAGAAGGCCUUCGGGUUGUAAAGCCCUUUUGUUGGGAAAGAAAAGCAUCAGGUUAAUACCCCGCUGUUCUGACGGUACCCAAAGAAUAAGCACCGGCUAACUUCGUG